Rhineura floridana is the source of this 2846-nucleotide long non-coding RNA. RefSeq lists it as uncharacterized. The transcript is spliced from 4 exons. The record is from RefSeq and is a predicted model, not a curated record. Lineage: Eukaryota; Metazoa; Chordata; Lepidosauria; Squamata; Rhineuridae.
CAGCCACAGCACUGCAGAGCCUGUAGACAGAUAUACAACCCAAGCCUUUCCCCCCCCAUCUGCAUAUACAGUCAGGGGAGAGGUGCCCAGAUGACAGAUAAUGAUGUGCGAGGGCCUGCAGAGACUCGUCCAAGGGCUCCCCCUUCAGUGAGGCAACUGGUGCAUCGUCUGAAUCAUCCGAGGAUGUGGUGAGCCCACUCAGGGGCUGCCUCUGGCUGCUUCAGAUGUCCACAGACACCCGACGCUGUGCAUCCAGGAGGUUUGAUUCAAUUAUGCUUGUUCCCCCCGAAACAUACCAACAGAUGUUUUCAACUAGCAGAUUCUUAGUGUGGAAAAUGAAACCUAUCAUCAGAUUCUAUGACCUUCAUCCAAAGAAGGGUAGAGGUGCACUGGAUGAUGACAAGAGGACAGGGCCGUUUUAGUUGUGGCUCCCCAUUUGUGGAAUGCUGUUCCCCAGUGAGGUCCACCGGGUGGUGCCUUCACUGACAUCUUUUCAGCACCAGAGGGAUGGCAUGUGGCUCUGAUGGAGAGAUUUCCCAGCAGGAGUCUCGGAGAGAGCUCGCAAAUCAAGCCAAGGAGGAGGGGGAACCAUUAGAAUAUGAAAAGAUAAUCAGUAAGUUGAACGGCAAAUGAGAAAUAAAAAUGAAACUGCUGCAAAGGCUUUUUAAAAAAGAAAAAGUCUUCAAGAUAUGCCUGAAAGUCAGAAGCAAACAGGGUUGCCACAGAAUCUCUGCUGGAAGCACAUUCCACAGCACAGGACCAGCGAUGCUGAACACCCUACUUCUGGUGGAGACCAGUCGGACUCCUGUAACACAGGGGACAGCUAAUGGAUGAUUUCACUGAUAGAGCCAGGAUAUAACGGCUCAGGCCAUCCUUCAGGUAUCCUUUUCAUUGAGCAUGCAUGAAUAUUUGUGCUCAUGAUGCCAUCAGGAGAGUUAUACGCAGUCCUGUUUUCAACACCGUUUGUGCCUUCAAAUGUUUUGGGGCAGACAUACUGCUUUGCUCCCAACCCUGCACCUUCCUGCUGAAACUCUGUACCUUUUUAAUAUCUUAAAUCUUCCAGUUAAUUUUGUUUGCCCUGCUUUGGUCUGUGCGCAAGAGUUCCCCUCUAGAUGCCAACAAGGCAAUAACAUUGGGGAAACAUCGCAGAACAACUAACAAAGAGGAAUGAUGUGUGGACAAUCCAGUAUGAACCCACCACAUCAAUGACAUGUCACAGAACACACCUGCAAAAAAAUGUACCAGACCGGAAAAGCUCUCUCUAGGUUAGUCCUACUCAGAGUAGACCCAUUGACAAUAACAGAGAUGGCUUACUUAGGUCUACUAAUUUCAGCAAGUCUGCUCCAAGUGGAACUAGGCUGGAUACAAUCCUUUGCAUUUGCUGCAACAGAUUAACAUGGUUUAGGAUUUGUGGGAUAUAUGACUGACCUCUUCCGCUAUACUUCAUUUUCACCAAAGAAGUUGAUGAGGAUCAGCGACAACCACAAGACGACAGGUUCUUCAUUCCAAGGUUCUCAAAAUCUGUUUUAGCGGUUUAGAUAUCACCCUUUGUGGAAGCCACAGAGUGGUUUCCAACAAACCAGACAGAUUUUUAAGAAUGCCUUAAAUUGAUUAGACAUAGUCCUUUCAAGACACAGUGGGUCAGUGGCGGCCGAUGGUGCCAUGUCAGUGGGGCAGUCGAAUCCACUCCAGGUUUUAGCCUGAACUUUCAAAACCCAGAGUGGAUUCUCCUGCCCCACUGACAUGGAGCCACCAGCACUGGGAGGUAUUCAAUGCUAAUCCUAUUCAGAGUAGGCCCACUGGUGGUAACAGACAUGACUAACUUAGGUUCAUUCAUUUCAGCGUCCCUCCUCCAAGCAGGACCAGCACUGAAUACCACCCACAGGAUUUCAUCCAGCCAAGUUCUAUUCACAGUAGAGCCAUUAAUAUUCAUGGCUCUUUAAGUUAGUAAUGCCCAUUGUUUUCAAUGGGUCUGCUUUGAGGAGGGAUAGGAGUGGACGGCUCAUGAUGAUGACCUGGUGCCCUCUAGAUGAUUUGGACUACAACUCCCAUCAGCCCCAGCCAUCAUGUUCCAUUGCAUUUAUAUCUCUGAGCAGAAGUGAAAUUGUCCACGGUCGUGGGGGGUCUUAGAUCCUUUACUUUUUUAGGAGCAGGGUCCCUAUAUCUCCAGCAUGCUAUGAGCCAAUCAGCUUGAACGGGGAGUGUGUUAGACACUGAGAAGAGUCUUCUAGCAUGCUUCCUUGUCCUUUCCUGCUGAUUGGAGCCAGCCAGAGUGAAAGGAGGUGAGUCAGCCACUGCAAAGACUCUCCUCAGUAGCUAACACACUCUUUCAUGCUUACCGGCUUCUAGGAGUGUCUGUUGUUGUCAGAAAAGGCAUGAAUAAAGAUCUCAUUCUCAACCCCGCAGUAAAAAAAGGGGGGGUGAGGGACAGUGGCUGUGACUAACAUGAAGGGACUCUGCACUUCUGAAUUAGCCACUACUCUACUGUCUCUGAGAGUUGUUAGGAGACUCCCCCAUCUACCAUUCUCAGAAUUCCCUGGGAAGACGGAUUGAUAGUUAAACCACUCUGGGAACUGCAGCUCCGUGAGGGGAAUUAGGAAUCUCCUAACAUUCUCAGCGCCCUUAACAAACUACAGUUCCCAGGAUUCUUUGGCAGAAGCCAGGACUUGUGAAAAUGGAAUCAUACUGGUUUUCCCCACAUGCUUCAUUAAUUUUAAUUAAAAUGGAAUGAUCUUCCUGACGAGGUGCGCCUGGCGCCAACACUGUUAUCUUUUUGGCGCCAGGUCACGACUUUCCUCUUCUCCCAAGCAUUUUAGCAUGUGUUUUUUAAGAAAUGUGUUUUUAAA